GGACUGUCAGAUGGAGUUCCUUGGAGAAAUUCAAUGGUAACAAAAGAAUACAUGGAAUAGUGAAUACUUUGAAAUCUAGGGUUGAGGUGGGGUGGGGUGGGUUAAUCUGGUUUCUCCUUGAUUGAAACCCCAUGGGAGCCUUAAGAGAUAGACUGCGAUACUGUAGCACUUGGCCCUAGAUGAAGUGUUUUCUUUAAAUCUCUACCUUGCAGGGAAGGAACUGCUGUCUUUACCUGAAGAGAAGUGGAGAACUGAAAUGCCUCAGCCGAGGAGAAAGCCUAAUUUUCUCUGCCAGAUUCCAGCACCUGUCUGCUAACUGCAACCAUUAGGCCCCAGGGGUGACAGUACAGAAACACAAAAGUAUCUGUUGUGUUUAGGACACUAUGUGGGUAGAACGCCAAACUCAGAAUUUUGUAGAUGACUCUCAUCUCUAAUAAACUGUGUCUGCCUUAUGCUGUUCACUUUUUUUUUAAAGAAGGAAACAUUUGAGGAGGUCUUAGCUUUUUUUUUCAACUGAAAAAGGCCAUUUUAGUGUGAAGUGUAAUCAUGACACUCAGGUUUAUGAAUCUUUAGUAUUUAGGGGUAAAAUCUAUAAUCCAAACCAAAAUAUGCAUUUGUAGCUAGUCUUGUAUAAGACUUCUUUUAAAACAAUUUGUUUUUUCCAUGUGUGCGUGUGGUUUGCCUGCAUGUAUAUCUGUGCACCACAGACAUACCAGCGCCUAUGGAGUCAGAAGAGGUCGUUGGAGCUCCUGUAUGUGGGUGCUGGGAACCGAACCCAGGUCCUUGGCAAGAGCAGCAAGUCAUCCUAACUGCUGAACUCCUCCAGCCCCCUUGUACAGGUUUUCUUAAGAAAAUGAUGGACUGUCCAAAUCGAUAGCUGCCCCGAGAAUGUAAAAACUUCGACCUCUUAGCUGAUUGCUAAGGUCUACAAAAAUCUUCAGCCCUCAAAGAAAGUGGUCAACUUGUCCUCAGCUACCGGUGCUCGCUGGCGGGUUCGUAGAGCAUCCACCCGCAGAGAUGGAGCUGCCAUAGUCCUCUCAUCCAAAGGCCCCGUCCCCGAGGACCCCCAUCUCUGCCCCCCCAGGCAGCCCGCGCUCCCUCCGCAGGUGGCCGCGCCGGAGCCCCGCCCCCACUCACUCCCCAAGUCGCGGGGCCUCGUCCGCUCUCGCGAGAUCCCGGCCGCCGAGCGCUCGGGGCCUUUUCAAAUCGCGAUCCGUUACCGCUUCUCCGGCCGCCGCCAUUGUAGCGCUCGGAGCCCUCAUCGCGGCCGAGGCGGAGCCCGCGGCGGGAUGGCCGAUGCCGACAAGUCCGAGGCGGCCGCGGGUGACGACGGCUCGCAGCAGCAACCGGCUGAGCCGCGGCGAGACACGCACCCCGGCGAGCCCGAGAAACCGCCGCGCAGCAGCGCCAACGGCGUUAAAAUGGAGAAUGAUGAGUCAGUGAAGGAAGAAAAAUCUGAUUUAAAAGAAAAGUCUACAGGAAAUAAGAAGGCCAAUCGGUUCCAUCCUUAUUCAAAAGAUAAGAAUUCGGGCACUGGAGAAAAGAAAGGUCCAAAUCGGAACAGAGUGUUCAUUAGCAACAUACCCUAUGACAUGAAGUGGCAGGCUAUUAAAGAUUUGAUGAGAGAAAAAGUUGGUGAGGUUACAUACGUGGAGCUCUUUAAGGAUGCGGAAGGAAAAUCAAGGGGUUGUGGCGUGGUUGAAUUCAAAGAUGAAGAAUUUGUAAAGAAAGCAUUAGAAACUAUGAACAAAUAUGACCUUAGUGGAAGGCCUUUGAAUAUUAAAGAGGAUCCGGAUGGAGAAAAUGCUCGCCGGGCACUGCAGCGAACAGGAACAUCAUUUCAAGGAUCACAUGCCUCCGAUGUGGGAUCUGGGUUGGUGAAUUUACCACCUUCCAUUCUCAAUAAUCCAAACAUUCCUCCUGAGGUUAUCAGCAAUUUGCAGGCUGGUAGACUUGGUUCCACAAUUUUUGUUGCUAAUCUUGACUUCAAAGUUGGUUGGAAGAAAUUAAAGGAAGUGUUCAGCAUAGCUGGAACUGUGAAGCGAGCUGAUAUUAAAGAAGACAAGGAUGGCAAGAGCAGAGGCAUGGGCACUGUCACUUUUGAGCAGGCAAUUGAAGCAGUCCAAGCAAUUUCCAUGUUCAAUGGGCAGUUUUUAUUUGAUAGACCUAUGCAUGUGAAAAUGGAUGACAAAUCUGUCCCUCAUGAAGACUACCGUUCACAUGAUAGUAAGACAUCACAGUUACCACGUGGUCUUGGAGGCAUUGGAAUGGGACUUGGUCCAGGUGGACAGCCUAUUAGUGCCAGCCAGCUGAACAUAACUGGUGUAAUGGGAAAUUUGGGUCCAAGUGGUAUGGGAAUGGAUGGUCCGGGUUUUGGAGGAGUGAAUAGAAUUGGAGGAGGAGUUGGGUUUGGUGGUCUGGAAGCAAUGAAUAGCAUGGCAGGCUUUGGUGGAGUUGGCCGAAUGGGAGAGCUAUACCGUGGUGCAAUGACUAGUAGCAUGGAGCGAGAUUUCGGACGUGGUGAUAUUGGAUUAAGUCGAGGCUUUGGCGAUUCCUUUGGUAGACUUGGCGGCAGCAUGAGCGGCAUGAGCACUGUGACUGGAGGCAUGGGCAUGGGACUGGACCGCAUGAGCUCCAGCUUCGACAGGAUGGGGCCAGGCAUUGGAGCCAUACUGGAAAGGAGCAUCGAUGUAGACCGAGGGUUUUUAUCAGGUCCCAUGGGAAGCGGAAUGAGAGACAGAUUAGGCUCCAAAGGCAACCAGAUAUUUGUUAGAAAUCUUCCUUUUGACUUGACUUGGCAGAAAUUAAAAGAGAAAUUCAGCCAAUGUGGUCAUGUAAUGUUUGCAGAGAUAAAGAUGGAGAAUGGCAAGUCAAAAGGCUGUGGGACAGUCAGGUUUGAAUCUGCAGAGUCAGCGGAAAAGGCCUGCAGGAUCAUGAAUGGCAUCAAGAUCAGCGGCAGGGAAAUCGAUGUGCGCUUGGACCGCAAUGCGUAAUUUCAAGCAUGGUUGGAACCUUUCCUCAUCUGUUUAUGACUCUCCUAGUAAAAGUCAUUUUUAGUAAUGUUGUAUGCUUACAAAUGCUGUAAAAAUGAACUUUUACAACUCCCACCAGCUAUUAACAGGAUAGUGUGGAAAAUGUACUGUGAGUUUUUUGUUUUUUGUUUUUUGUUUUUUUUUUUUUUUUUUUUUUGUUCUCAAGUUUGAGUUUCUAAAGACAGCACAUCUGAUCAUUCAGUUUCAGUGGAUGGACAUACCAUUUUUAAUGAAAUAAGCCAUUUUGUUAUUUUCAGUAGCAGAGUUUGUCUGUUCCAGUUUUCCCGACCUUGGUGUAAGCUCACAGAUACUUUGUUUUCUUUUAAAAUCUUUGCUUUGUAUGUGAGUUAAAGGAAAGAAAGGGCUCAGACAAAUUAGGAUGGAUUUUGGUUUGGUUUAAAUUACUUUUCUCUGCUUAUAAAGAAUAGUAAUUAAGUGUUAGACUCUAAAGUUGAAGAUGCUUUUUAUUUGACCUAAAUGAAGACAUGAAUUUUCUUCUUUUUGCCCCUCUACCAUUCCAUCUUUCCACAUAACACUAUUAAAAAAUAUCAAACUCCACAACCCCUUAUUCUAUUAUUUCCAAUAAUUCCAAUUUCAUAUAGAACUGAUAAAGUAGCAAGUCCUAAGUAUAACACUAGGCAGACCACCCCCAACUUUCGGUCUAGUUUCCAGCCAUUAAAAUGAACUGCUAAGAACAGAAAUAAAAUUGAAAUGUUGAGAGAGAUUGUUAUAUAUGUGAGUCCCUUGCUAUUCACUUCUAUAGGAGCAGAUGCAUUCGUAAAUGCAGUCUUAAUAAACCAGGGAAGACCUAGGCAUAGCAUAUCAAACACAUUGGAUCCCACGAUGUUAGAUAUAGCCAUGUCUCCUUUACCUGCAGAAGAAUAGCAUGUUGUUAAAAUGUGCACAUCAAUACUAUAUUUUAUUAAUAAUCUUCAUAAGAAAAACACUGGAUACUUUUUGUUGGUUAGUUUUAGAAAACUGUUAUUGUUAGAGCAAGAGUCUUAUUGAAUUUGUAUUUCCUUGGGUUAGUAUUUUAAAGUCUUAACAUUUAUUUAAUAAUUGUCUUUAUUUAUUAAACCAUUUUUAAUAAGGUAUACAGCUUACUUGUUGCUUUUUAUUCUCAUUUGACAGUGAAUUACCAUCUAAUUCACAUUUCAGUUUGCCUGAUGUCAAAUAUGUUCUUAUUGGGAAAAAUUGGAUACGGCAAAUAUGCAAGCUACCUGGACAUUCUUAUCUUCUUCAUGAAAAAUAAAACUAUUUUGUUUUUGUUUAUUUGUUAGCAUACAGUUACAAUAAAGUUAGUUAUCUGGGAGAAGUCAGACCAGCCAGUUUGGAGAGGGUUCCAGGUAGUAGUUAUUCCAACUCUACAGUGUUUGAAUUUGUGUUGUAAUUCUUUAGCCCCAGCAGUGUGAGGACAGCAGUGUGUACAUGUUAGUAGGUGUCUGGGCCCAGCUGUGGUCAGUGAAGCUUCACUGGUACAAUCUGGUUGCAUGAUUUAGGCAUGGAGGAAAGAGUAUUCACUUCUAAUGGGUAUAUUACAACUAAGUGAUAAAAUGUACUCUGGAAGAUGCUAGAAACCUAAAAACAAAACUUUGAUUCUCAUUAUUCAUUUGCAUUGUAUUUGUGAUACAUAUUUAAAGCAAAAGAAAAUACCAUCUACUCAAACAGAGAGCACCUACUGCUUUCUGUUGACCCCAGUCAUCUCUACUUUCUACUAUGGAUUAGAAUUCACUUUUAUGAAGAAUUCUCAUGAAACCUGUGUAAUUAUAAACAUAUCCAAUGAAUUAUACCCCUGACUGUGUCAUAGCAUACAUAGGAAAUGCUUUUGAUAUGUAACUCACAAAAACAUGAAUGAGCUUGCUGGUUUUGCUGUUAAAGCUUUCAUAUUUUGUAAAUAGUUUUUAGUCUUGCUGAAAAAAAAUAUAUGCUCCCAAGAUUACUUUAAAUGAAUACUUCCAAUUUGUUUUUACAUGGAAUAAUUUUCUUGUGCUAUUAUACUUAAAUUCCAUACCUGUUACUGUGACCAUCCAAACUAGGAUGUAUGUGAAUGCAGAUAUCCAUAGUGCAGACAUGAAAAAGGUUAUCACAAAGUAAUUUUUCCAAAACUUUCUCCUGCAGUCUGGUGUUGUCAGAGCAAGUAAUGUAAUAAUAGGAAGAGAGAGAACCCAAAAAAUUCUUCUUAAGUCUGCUUCUGGCAUGCUGAAAACACUUGGUGGAUCUGUGGUGGGAAAGUUCAACAUUUUGAGUUUUCUCAAAUGUGCAAUUAUGUUAGAAAGGCCCAUUUAGAAGGCUGUUUUGAAGUAAGUUACUGUAUGCAUCUUUUAAAGACCGUCUAGAACAGUAGUCUCAACCUGUGGGACUUGACCCCUUUGGUGUUGAACAACCAUUUUACAAGGGCCACCUAAGACCCUGAGAAGUCUCAGAUACUUACAUUACAAUUUAUAACAGCAAAAUUACAGUUCUAUGUAGUGUCAAUGAAAAUAAUUUUAUGGGUGAAAGUUACCACAAUAAGAGGGACUGUGUCAAACGGUCUCAGCAUUAGGAAAAUUGAGAAGCACUGGUCUAGAACAUUGGAAUACUCAUUACUAUUACUGCUGGUCAGAAGAAAUGUAACUAAAACUAGGCAGACAGUAUAAGCUGUGCUCUACAUCCCUUAACCGACUGCUCGAAUCAAAUAUCUUGAACUGUUUGCUGAAUGUGCUGGUGACAGUGUUCACGGAGUUGAAAGUAGGAUUUGCUUGCUUUACUGUAGUAUGGGUUCAUUAGAGACGUGAUGCUUUCUCUCCCAGCUCUUUCACUCCUCAUCUCUUUUCCAAAACGGACGCUGCUUAUGCUUUGUUGCACACUGAUGCACGCUUAGGGAGUGUUCCCUCUAACUCUCACUGUGCCGCAUCGUUUACUGAACGCAGGCUUCCCGGGUGCUAGAAGGAAUCUAGAGAAGGUUGGGCCUAGCAUCCUUGGUAUAGUUCCGGGGUGUGCUCUAGAAUGGUGAGGAGAUUGGAUAAAAGUGGGACGAGGCUGUACACUAAUGAAUAUGUUAAGUAUGUGAAGGUUGGAUCAAAUCACAAAUAUUAUUAUAACUCAUAAAAGCUCACCAAGACUCAGACAGUGCACCAUUAAUUUAGACACAGAUUCUAGCAUGAACAUUUUUGACUAGUUCUUUGGAGUCUUUGUUGUUUUAAAUCUCCUCAGUCUUAAAGACUACAAAGUAUGGUUUGUAAAAAUAAAUGUCUCGUGUCAAAAUUUUAAAGUAAUAAAUUAGAAGCUUGCUUCUCAAUUACCUAACUGAAGUUGGAACCACUUUUAUAAAAGCUUUUCUAGUCUGGAAUGCUAUUGCUAUAUCGAGCAUACCAAGCUCAUGUGCUGCUUCACACGGCAUGUUUAAGUUACACCUGCGUUCUUUUCCCCAUUCUGUUCCCCUGAAUCAUCCCCUUUCCUUUUAUUGACAGUUGUUACAAAGAUGUUCUUUCUUUCUUAGUGAAAAUCCAAGCUCCAGCGUUGUCUCUGCUCCCUCUCUGGCUCGGCAUUGCUGCCAUAGUUUGGUGCUGCUGCUUCUACUGUGUCUCAUAAUUCAUCCCCCUGCCUUUUCUGUUUUGUUCCUGUCCUUUCAUCUUAGCUCAGUCUUCUGUGAACAUUGGGUGAGAGAAAAGAGCCUAACAUGCAUCUCUGACUCUGUCUUAGGAAUGCUGCCUGCUCAGUGGGGUAUCUUGCACGACCUCCUGCACUUCCUUCCUGUCAGCCUGCUCCUCUGCUGCUUGCUGCACUUGCAUGUGUUGGCUCUGUGUGCAAGCAUGUGAGCAGGCCUUUGCUAGUGUUCCCAGGCCUCAGUCCAGAGCAUACUUAUACCCCUGAAUCAUGUAUGCAAUAAAAGUGUCAGCUGUUGCUUCCUGACUACACAUACUAUUAGAUUAUUGAGUUAAAGCCUCUCUUAUCCCAUGGGGCCCAAACCAAUUCAAAUGCUCCUUUCUCCAUGUGCAUCUCCCAUCUGAGUGUCAUCAAAGUUUAUUCAGUCUGCCUGUAUGAACCAUGGUAUUAGCAGUUUAUGUUUGCUUAUGGUGUUCACACUUUGAAAUUCUAGCUGAUUUCAUUCUGUGUCUGGGAAAUGGCUCAGUGGGUAAAGCGCUUGGUGCACGGGCAUGAGAGUCUGAGAUCAGAUUCUCAACACCACAUAAAAAAGCAUGGCAGCCCACAUGUAUACUCUCAGUGCUAUGGAAGUCAGAGACAGACAGAUCCCUAAAGUUCACUGGCCAGCUAGUCUAGCCUAAUCAGUGAGCUACAGGUUCAUUGAAUGACUGUGGUCUCAAAAAAUGAUGUGAAGUCUCAAAGAAUUGAGGGCUAGCAUCCAUGACUGACUCUGGCCUCCAUGUCUGUGUGUUCUCCCUUCCCCCACACUUUUAGCUGAUUAAAAAAAAAAUUAUUGUGAGUUCCUUAAAGGCCAGGACUUACUUGCAGUUCAUCAUCUCUGGCUCCAUAGUGUGUUGUGUAACCAUGUACUAAUUACUAACUCUCAAUGAGAACUCAGGUCUUUUAGAGUGUUAGAUGGCAGGGUGUAGUUGUUACCUUCAGAAACCUGACUAAGACCAUGCAAGCUUAGAGAAAGUUGGGAGUAACCGGAAUCUUCCUGAAAUAUUCCACUGUCUGUCCUUGACUGGCGACGAAUGAAGAGCUGGCUCUCAUCCUCCCAUCCCAACAGUGUCUGCUGUUCAAUUCUCUCCUCCAUAGCUCUGGCAAGGCAGGGACAACAGGGACUGCAUGUUUUCAUGACAUGCCGGCUGAUCGUGGUGUCAAAACACAGCAGCAGAACAUAGAGCCCAUAUAUCAGUAGCAGCCCUGCUCCUUCGUACCUAGACGUGGAGGAAAGGGCUGUGCAGUUAUCCAGUCAUUUUAAACAAUAUUCUCUAACAAAAGCAACAGUGGAAAAUUCAAGGAACCACUCCUAAAUGCUUUUAUUUACCCAGUUUUGGUUAUAGUAUGGUUACAAAUUCAUUGAUUAAAAAAUCUGCCUCUUUAAAAAGUAAUAUAAAAUCCAUUGUCUGACUUUAUAGAUUCCUUUCAAGUAAUAGGCACAAAAUAGUCGGAGAGUUAAAACUAAUUAAUAGAUAUUUUUUCAGUUCAUUUAUUUAGCAUACUACAUUUCUCAAAUAUUUAAUAAUUAGAAAAUAAAAUACUAUCUCUUAGAUUUUCUGAUACAGAAACAUGGUGUAGAAUACUUAGACUGUGCUAGGUUUUUGCUGGAGCUUUGCAGUUUGUUUUACAGAGAUUCAGAGGAAAGCCGGAGGUGGUGGGGUGUUGUUGGCUUUGAGGUCUCAUUGUAAAAGCCCAGACUGGCCUUGAACACUGCACCCUAGAUUGGCCUCAGACACUCAGAUUAUUAUCCUCCUACCUCUUCCACUUGAGUUUUGGGGGUUUUAUAUCUGUACUACUAUGCUUGGUCCCUUUUUGAUGAAUUGAUUGUAGCUUAAUUGGGUUUAUAUUCAUAAGAAAUAAAGAAUAUUCUCAAAAAUGAAAUUCUGGCAUACAGCACCAAGAAUUGUCUAUGCUUUGGUUUCCCAUUUUACUGUGUAUUAGGCUAAUUUUUAUCACAUUAAUAUUGUUAUUUUAUUUCAUAGCAGAGAAUCACUUCUCUGCUUCAACUAAAAAAAAAAAAGAAAGAAAGAGAAAAAAAAGAGUUCCUGAUUUCCUUGGUUCCUGUCAUUUACAAGUGACAGCUGAAUUCCAGUGUUUUUGCUAUACUAGCAACCUGACUUUUAUCUUGCUUUCUCCCUGUUUGGAUUCUGUGGACACACACACAUGUGGUGGCCAUAUGUUUUAUAUCACUUUUUUAUGGUAUCCAGCAUAGAACACCUAGGACAAUUGUUCUCACAGCCCUUUGGGGCUUGAAUGGCCCUAUGACAGGGGUCACUUAAGACCAUCUGCAUGUCAGAUAACUUACACAAUGAUCAUAACAGCAGCAACAUUACAGUUAUGAAAUAGCAACAAAAAUAAUGGUUGUGGGUCCACCAUGAGGAACUGUUAGGGGCUCAGAGCAGCAGGAUGCCUGGGAACACUGGCAGAACCGCUGUGUGUGCCUGUUUGGCAAGUUCACGUCUUUCCACCAAAUUAGCUGCCUUUUCCAGUUUUCUUGGACCUGUUAGGUACAGAGAUUAUGGAAAAGCAGCAAGCCUUUUUGAUGGUGACACAUAAUUCUGGGUUGUUAAAGAAGGCAGCAGUUCUUCCCAUCCUUCUCUUCUGGGAGGAUGGGAGGAGUGCAAGGGCUUCUGCUGGCCUCCAGGCUUUUAUUACUAUGACCCUUUCUUUUUAACCAAGGCCAGGUAAGCAACAGCAGCCGGGGAAGGUGUGAACAUGGAGACCAAGGAAAAGGAAGAAUGGCUGUCUUCAGUGACUAGGACAGGAGAGAAAAGCAGCCACCAGCAGUUUUGAAGGAGUCAGCUGAGACUGCAAUAGCUGUUGAAGUGAAGGUUUUGAGAAACUAUACUACUAAGCCAUCAGACUUCAAAAAUUCUGUAAUUAUGUUUUAUGUUAAGAGUGACACUUAUUUAAAGCUUACCAGUAAAUUCGGUUGUCAAAUAUUAUGCCAAAAACUGCUCCUACACUAACUGCAUACACUGCACAGUCUCGGAAGAGGGGCCAGCAGGAGAGUGUUGAAACCUGGAAAAUGAUGGUUUGAUUUACUGUGUGCAUUACAGUGUAAGGCAUUCAAGAACAGUGUAUAAUACUGAAAUCACGUAUAUUUGUGGUAAACUAUUGUUAAGUUUGCAUAUUACGUAGAGAAAAACAAUUUUAAAGUAAAAUUGUAUAUAAACCUGUACUGACUUUUAUAAAUUUCAUUAAGAGAUGCUUAUGGAUUAUGUCAAUUGAGUAAAUGUUUUUCUAGUGGUUAUUAAAUUUGACUGAAUGCAA
Mus musculus (house mouse) is the source of this 9932-nucleotide RNA transcript. It is a transcript of the gene named myelin basic protein expression factor 2, repressor, with no coding region annotated. The record is from RefSeq and is marked validated. Lineage: Eukaryota; Metazoa; Chordata; Mammalia; Rodentia; Muridae. The transcript is spliced from 17 exons.